RNAcentral lists this ribosomal RNA (253 nucleotides) under uncultured bacterium. Its description in RNAcentral is "partial 16S ribosomal RNA". It matches the Rfam family "Bacterial small subunit ribosomal RNA", at positions 524 to 776 of the family's 1533-position model. The record is from RNAcentral.
UACGUAGGGUGCAAGCGUUGUCCGGAAUUAUUGGGCGUAAAGAGCUCGUAGGCGGUCUGUCGCGUCGGCUGUGAAAACCCGGGGCUCAACCCCGGGCCUGCAGUCGAUACGGGCAGACUAGAGUGUGGUAGGGGAGACUGGAAUUCCUGGUGUAGCGGUGAAAUGCGCAGAUAUCAGGAGGAACACCGGUGGCGAAGGCGGGUCUCUGGGCCAUAACUGACGCUGAGGUGCGAAAGCGUGGGGAGCGAACAGG